AUAUAUAUAUAUCAAAAUUAAGGUUUAUAACAAAGAAUAUAGUAAGCAAUCAUGAGCAUUUAAGAUAUGGAAGUUAAAAGGCCAUUGGUGUCGGGGCAAAACCUAAUCAACGGCAAGCAAGACGCCACCCAUGCAGUGGCUUCUGGCAUUUUCCAAAUCAACAUCGUCGUCUCCACCAUCCAGUUAAUCAUCAAUGCCAUUGGGACUAGUUGGCACGCCUAAGCUCUGUGGAAAGUAUUGAUCGAUGAAUUGGGUGCACCUCUACCAACACGAUCAUCCAUUGGAGCAUGGUUUUAAUUAUCGAAUUUCUUCGUGGGAAGUUAAUUUAAUUGAUACUUUUAAAGCCACAUUCAAUUGAGAAACCAUUUGAGGUAAGAAAAUUGUUGACAUUUUUUAACUACAUUUUAACAGAAAGGCUUUAGCUAGUGAUGCAACAGCAAAAUCUACUUUUAUGAGUUAAGACAAAGAACAUUACGGGUCAUGGCAUACUUGUUCUUCGCAACACCAUGCUGCAGCAUUGUUCAUAUCACUGACAAUUGUAUUAUUACAGGUCUCUAUGUCUUUUUCAGUUCUUUUCUUUCCAGUAUUUUGGAGGAUGAAGAUUCAAUUUGUUUAAGGGUUAGGAUUUAGGAAGAUGUAACCAUGCUAGUACUUUUGUGCUCUGUGACUGUGAGGUGGUUUGGUUGAUAUAAUUUGAUUGAGAUUCCUUUUUAUUGGGAAUGUCAUUCAGUAAAGAGACGUUCUUUUGUUUUUCUGGCAUUAUAAACCAAGAAUGUUUAGAAAUGAAUGCUGUGCAAAUCUUGGAGUCAUGCUUUUUAAUAUGUUAUUCAAUUGAUAUAUUAGCUAGAUUGUUGUACUAUUAAAGAUGAUAAUCUAUGUUAUAAACUUAUAAUGGCAUUGAUACAUUUUUUAGUGCAUGUGCAUUAUGUACAUCACUUAACCAUCUAUGGUUUUGUAGUUGCUGACUCACUAUUCUAGAAGAAUAGAAGGCAGACACUGACAGUGCUGUUAGUAUUGGUUGCAAUUUACUACAACUUCAUUGCUUCGGGUUCAACCGUUAUUACCACACUUUCGAAGCUUCUCUCAGUGUUACUAAUUUUCUUAUUCAUCCAUGGUAGUUACCAACUAGAAUGUUUGCAUAGCAACCCACUUUUCUCUGUCAAUAUGUCAACCUAUUUUUUCCUGAUAGUCACAAAAUCUUAAAAGGAUAAAUCUUAUAUUCCAAUUAUUAUAAUUGCCAAAAUUUUGUAAAUAGGUUUCUCUCUUAAAAGCAUCUCAAUAGUAUUUACUUAAAAAGGAAAGAUUGUCAGAAUCUUGGUCUCGAUGCUAUAAAACGAUGGAUGCUUAUGGAUCAUCUAUAUUGCUUGGUUUUAUGUAUUCUAGAUUUUAUUUAUUGGUGAGAAGCCUAAAACAAGAAAAAUUUCCUAAUGCUGAGCACAAUAGCUACUCGAUAUAAAUAUACUUUUCCGAUGGUGCAAAUUGGGAUAUACAGUAGAGAAAAUUUUUGCAUCAAAUUUUCACUUAUUAGAAGAGUAAUCACGGAAUGCUGUUAUGUUGAUAGCUUCAUCCUGUAAUGGUGUCAUUAAUGUUUUGAAAUCUCUUUGAAAGGGGAACGAUUGGAUACUGUUCCUCAAGGUAUUAUUUUUCUCUAAGAUUGCUUCUUAUUUGUGUGCUUUAAAAUAUGUUAGAGGUCAAUAGAUAUAGUACCCGAAACCUCUUAUCCUUUUGAAAAGCAGUGUAAGGUUUGACUGAGACUGGGUUCUCAAUUUUUUGUCUUGGAGAUUAGUAAGUAGAUCCAUGAUAUGUUCAAUUUGUUUAACAUGAGAUCAUAUGCCUAAACUCCUAACCCUUUCUUGUCUCUUCCAUUUUUCCACCAUUGCGCCUUAGGCCUAUUAUGUUCUAUUACUAUCAGAUAAGUGUGCUUACUUAUACAUCUAAAUGUUGUUCAUUGGGACACUCUGAUAUGACAAAUCAUGGUGGCUGUAAUCAUUUUUUAUAACUUUUGCUCUGGCAAUGAAACGGGUUGUUUUCUUUCUGAUGCUCCUUCGCUUUUUUGGAGCUAUAUCACUUCGGACAAUUUUGGUCAUAGGUUCUUUCUCUCUCUCUCUCUCUCUCUUACAUACAUACACUGGAAGAGAUGCUUAGGCACCUGUAAAGAGAUAACCCCAUAGUACUUGAUUGGCCACAAUAGGCUGACCUCAGAUAUCAACAAAAGCUUCAAUAGGUAUCUGUAUUAGAGAACAUCAGACAGCAAAUGUUUGAUAAUCUUUUCUUCCCUUGUAAAUUAUUCUUUGGUUUUAAAAUUCUUCUGAACUAAUAUUAUACUUGUAAGUGGUUGAUGAUGUUUUUAUGUUAUCAUGCAGGUUAAAAGAAUUAUGUCCUCCGUUAUGGUUCUUCUUAUUGGAUUUAUUACUAUUGAAACUUUUUACAUUGUUUGAUCAUUCAAUGUAAGUAUAAGCUUGAUUAUACCUAAAUUGUUAAUCUACUAGAUGUUAAUUCUGAUUUACAAGAGAACUCUGUGAUUAUUUUGGAUGUGUACCUUGUGUUGCAAUUAUUUGGUGAUUUGGUGCUUCACCUUGAUCUUUAAGACUAAAUCUUGUUAGGUCUUCUAAUUCUUUGUGAAAUACUGUAAAUUUUUUUACCUUCUUUAGUUUAAUUAUUACUUAUUUAUUUGCUUAAACACAUGUUUAUUUGUAGUUACCUCAAAAUUUCUAGCUUCGGAAGAAAUUAGGUUGGAGGUAAGUAAUUGCUUGAAUAGUUUAUUUAAUAUAUUUCCAUCAUAAAUAGGUGCUUAUAUAUUGAUGUUUUCCCCUUUUUCUUAAUGUUCUUCGUGUGGACUAAUUCCAUUUAAAUAGUGGUAAGAAGCACAUUGCUAUUUUCUCUUCUCCAAGUGCUAUGGCAGGUUUUUAUUGGUUUGACUUUGAAAAUUGUGCUUGCUUUUGGAUCCUUUAGUUGUAUCCAACGAUGUUUAUUUCCUUUGUGAAAACAUAUUGCAUCUGCUUUUUGUGUCUAUGCUGGGGUUGGUUUUUUAUAUGGCAUGUCUAUUGCAUAUGUUUCCAAUAUUAGAACUGAAGAGUGUGUGAGUCCCUUGCUAGACCAAGGAUAAAAUAAAAAAUUAGAUAUAUUUCCAAUUACACAUUGCUAGAAAUCAUUUGUUUAAUCUGUAAUGUAAAUUAUAAAAGCAAAAUGCUGUUGUUCUUUUAAUUUUUAAUUUUUAAUUCACAUUAGGUAAACCGGAAGAACUAUCCAGAGUUCCAACUUAAUACUUCAUCCUUACCAAGUGAUACAUUUGCAGUACAAUUUGUAUUUCUGGGUAUCAGUAUUUUUACUAUUUCAUUGGACAUAAUUUUGACUUUUUGGAGCCCACAAGAUCAAAGGAAGAAGGUUUGAAGUGAAGUGAAGCAAAUAAAAAGCUAAAGGAGAUAGUUAGAUGACUUGGAAGACUCUAGAAGAUGUGGCAACUUAGCUGGCAUUUUUCAGCAUUUUCAUUGGCUGAACCACCGCACCUUUGGCCUAUAAAUACAAAGGUUAAAAGAAUCAUGUCCUCCUUUAUGGUUCUUCUUAUUGGACAUAUGACUAUUGAAACUUUUUACAUUGUUUGAUCAUCUCAAUAGGAAUUAUCAUGAAAUGUGGAUACAAGGCCAUUUUCCUAAAUGUUGACACUCCUAGACUUAGUUGAAGGGAGGUAGACAUAAAGAAAAAGCGACAGUGUAUCCUUUUCUUCAUUUUGUAUCAUUUUGACAAGUGGAUGUAAGUGCUUUUGUAUGCUGUGUAUAUGGCACAAAUUGUUCGGAACUAGUAUAUCUUAUGCUUAUUUGGACUUACACAAUAAUUUUUCGAACAAGUGUUCUUUAUUUAUGUUUUGU
This is a long non-coding RNA of Durio zibethinus, 3866 nucleotides long. RefSeq lists it as uncharacterized. NCBI's taxonomy places the organism in Eukaryota, Viridiplantae, Streptophyta, Magnoliopsida, Malvales, Malvaceae. The record is from RefSeq and is a predicted model, not a curated record.